This 267-nucleotide unclassified non-coding RNA is filed under the name uncultured fungus. RNAcentral describes it as "sequence contains ITS1". Lineage: Eukaryota; Fungi. The record is from RNAcentral.
GUAUUUGUUUUAAAGGCUCAAAGGCCUAUUAAAUGACAUUCUAUUACAUUCUAUUGGGGUAUAUAUAAAACAUAAACCUGAAAUGCAAGGAAAGCUGGCUUUCGCACAGCAAUCCUCAAACUGAGUUUCCUCAAAAGGUAUUCCAGAUCUACAAAAAGUGCACAGGUGGUUAAAAACAUUGUCAGGUGUGCACAUGUCCCAAAGAACCAGCAACAACCUAACUAAGUUUAUUCAAUAAUGAUCCUUCCGCAGGUUCACCUACGGAAA